CUUUGCUGGCGACCGGCGCACGGGUGAGUAACACGUAUCCAACCUGCCCUUUACUCGGGGAUAGCCUUUCGAAAGAAAGAUUAAUACCCGAUGGCAUAAUGAUUCCGCAUGGUUUCAUUAUUAAAGGAUUCCGGUAAAGGAUGGGGAUGCGUUCCAUUAGGUUGUUGGUGAGGUAACGGCUCACCAAGCCUUCGAUGGAUAGGGGUUCUGAGAGGAAGGUCCCCCACAUUGGAACUGAGACACGGUCCAAACUCCUACGGGAGGCAGCAUG
RNAcentral lists this ribosomal RNA (271 nucleotides) under uncultured bacterium. Its description in RNAcentral is "partial 16S ribosomal RNA". It matches the Rfam family "Bacterial small subunit ribosomal RNA", at positions 83 to 353 of the family's 1533-position model. The record is from RNAcentral.